Molecule: ribosomal RNA, 465 nt
Filed under: uncultured bacterium
Lineage: Bacteria
Description: partial 16S ribosomal RNA
Rfam family: Bacterial small subunit ribosomal RNA
Source: RNAcentral
GACGAACGCUGGCGGCGUGCUUAACACAUGCAAGUCGAACGGAAAGGCCCUGCUUGCCGGGUACUCGAGUGGCGAACGGGUGAGUAACACGUGGGUGAUCUGCCCUGCACUUCGGGAUAAGCUUGGGAAACUGGGUCUAAUACCGGAUAGGAACCAUCUUUAGUGUGGUGGUUGGAAAGUUUUUUCGGUGUAGGAUGAGCUCGCGGCCUAUCAGCUUGUUGGUGGGGUAAUGGCCUACCAAGGCGGCGACGGGUAGCCGGCCUGAGAGGGUGUACGGCCACAUUGGGACUGAGAUACGGCCCAGACUCCUACGGGAGGCAGCAGUGGGGAAUAUUGCACAAUGGGCGCAAGCCUGAUGCAGCGACGCCGCGUGGGGGAUGAAGGCCUUCGGGUUGUAAACUCCUUUCGCUAGGGACGAAGCUUUUUGUGACGGUACCUAGAUAAGAAGCACCGGCUAACUACGUG